UACGUAGGGUGCGAGCGUUAAUCGGAAUUACUGGGCGUAAAGCGUGCGCAGGCGGUCUGUUAAGACCGAUGUGAAAUCCCCGGGCUUAACCUGGGAACUGCAUUGGUGACUGGCAGGCUUUGAGUGUGGCAGAGGGAGGUAGAAUUCCACGUGUAGCAGUGAAAUGCGUAGAUAUCUGGAGGAACACCGGUGGCGAAGGCGGCAUCCUGGAUCAAUACUGACACUGAGGAGCGAAAGCCAGGGGAGCAAACGGG
This 254-nucleotide ribosomal RNA is filed under the name uncultured bacterium. RNAcentral describes it as "partial 16S ribosomal RNA". It matches the Rfam family "Bacterial small subunit ribosomal RNA", at positions 524 to 776 of the family's 1533-position model. The record is from RNAcentral.